Molecule: small nuclear RNA, 104 nt
Organism: Suricata suricatta (meerkat)
Lineage: Eukaryota; Metazoa; Chordata; Mammalia; Carnivora; Herpestidae
Source: Ensembl
GUGCUCGCUUCGGCAGCACACGAACUAAAAUUGGAACGAUACCAAGAUUAACCUAGCCCCUGCACGCGGGUGACAUGCAAAUUCAUGAAGCAAAGUCUGAUUAU